Molecule: long non-coding RNA, 790 nt
Organism: Leopardus geoffroyi (Geoffroy's cat)
Lineage: Eukaryota; Metazoa; Chordata; Mammalia; Carnivora; Felidae
Exons: 3
Source: RefSeq, a predicted model, not a curated record
GUUUUUUGAGCUUCUCAAGGAUUACUGAAAAUGAAGAGUACAUAUAAAAAAAGACAGUUCAUCAUUUCCAAAAAAGAUAUUCAUCCAGAUUGCCCUCCAAUCCGUGAAAUCUGAGAUGCCUAAGGAGUCUUCUUUGUGAAAGCCUUACAAAUAUAUCCAAAGAUGACCUAAGGAGGCCACCCUUGAGACUGAAAAAGACUGGAACUAGCAGCAUUCAAAGAAUGUCCACACCAGUCCUUCCUUUGCCAGAAAGGAUCACUAAUUAGCAAUAUCAGCAAUAUCCACACACCUUGCCAGACCCUGGGACAACACAUUUGCUCAGAGUCUGAACUUGGUUUCCUAUGUGGUAGCAUGGCCAGCCCCUACUCAGACUUGGCAACCUCAACAAAGGUACUUCAGCAGCCUCUGCAGUGCAGGGCUCUUGGGAUCUGGCUCUUAGGACUGCUGAUGGCAGCACCAGUACUGCGGUUGCAGAACAGCACACGCUCUAACAGCCUUGGCAAGUAAAACAGCAUUGGUGGAACGGUGGACUGCUGGGCUCUUGCCAUGUCAGUAGGAGUGCGGGUGCCUGGCUUCCUGCAAAGAGUGGCAAUGAUGAAUCCAACAGCCGCAGCAGCAGCAGUGCUCCAGCUGCCUCUGCAGCACAGUGCUUGUAAGCUCCGGGUAACAAAACUUUCCCUUGCUUUCUGCAGAUAUUCAUUGUUACAUACCAUUGCCACUGUCUUUCCCUUCCAUCAGACUUUCCAACACAUUUGUAACCAAUUCUCGGAUUAAAGUCUCUCUGUCUUGA